RNAcentral lists this ribosomal RNA (505 nucleotides) under uncultured bacterium. RNAcentral describes it as "partial 16S ribosomal RNA". It matches the Rfam family "Bacterial small subunit ribosomal RNA", at positions 28 to 507 of the family's 1533-position model. The record is from RNAcentral.
GACGAACGCUGGCGGCGUGCCUAAUACAUGCAAGUAGAACGCACAGUUUAUACCGUAGCUUGCUACACCAUAAACUGUGAGUUGCGAACGGGUGAGUAACGCGUAGGUAACCUGCCUGGUAGCGGGGGAUAACUAUUGGAAACGAUAGCUAAUACCGCAUAAUAUUGAUUAUUGCAUGAUAAUUGAUUGAAAGAUGCUAUUGCAUCACUAACAGAUGGACCUGCGUUGUAUUAGCUAGUAGGUGAGGUAACGGCUCACCUAGGCGACGAUACAUAGCCGACCUGAGAGGGUGAUCGGCCACACUGGGACUGAGACACGGCCCAGACUCCUACGGGAGGCAGCAGUAGGGAAUCUUCGGCAAUGGAGGAAAGUCUGACCGAGCAACGCCGCGUGAGUGAAGAAGGUUUUCGGAUCGUAAAGCUCUGUUGUAAGAGAAGAACGGGUGUGAGAGUGGAAAGUUCACACUGUGACGGUAGCUUACCAGAAAGGGACGGCUAACUACGUG